Non-coding RNA from Malassezia sp. CBS 17886, 126 nucleotides. NCBI's taxonomy places the organism in Eukaryota, Fungi, Basidiomycota, Malasseziomycetes, Malasseziales, Malasseziaceae. The record is from the annotation of a GenBank genome assembly.
UCUCCCGUCGUCUAGUUGGUUUAUGACACGGUGCUUAUAGAGGUACUUGCACACUGCCCCUGUGAACGGCCCGCUUUACUGCGGAGAGAAACGCCGUUGUCCGGGGUUCGAGUCCCCGCGGGAGAA